Molecule: unclassified non-coding RNA, 148 nt
Organism: Pongo abelii (Sumatran orangutan)
Lineage: Eukaryota; Metazoa; Chordata; Mammalia; Primates; Hominidae
Rfam family: Metazoan signal recognition particle RNA
About the family: The signal recognition particle (SRP) is a universally conserved ribonucleoprotein. It is involved in the co-translational targeting of proteins to membranes.
Source: Ensembl
GCCUGGCAUGGUGGUGCAUGCCUGUAGUCCCAGCUACUCGGGAGGCUGAGGCAGAAGAAUCGCUUGAACCCAGGAGGCGGAGGUUGCAGUGAGCUGAGAUCGUGCCACUGCAGUCUAGCCUGGGCAACAGAGUGAGAUUCUGUCUCGA